GACGAACGCUGGCGGCGUGCUUAACACAUGCAAGUCGAACGGAAAGGCCCUGCUUUUGUGGGGUGCUCGAGUGGCGAACGGGUGAGUAACACGUGAGUAACCUGCCCUUGACUUUGGGAUAACUUCAGGAAACUGGGGCUAAUACCGGAUAGGAGCUCCUGCUGCAUGGUGGGGGUUGGAAAGUUUCGGCGGUUGGGGAUGGACUCGCGGCUUAUCAGCUUGUUGGUGGGGUAGUGGCUUACCAAGGCUUUGACGGGUAGCCGGCCUGAGAGGGUGACCGGCCAACUUGGGACUGAGAUACGGCCCAGACUCCUACGGGAAGCAGCAGUGGGGAAAAAUGCACCAUGGGCGGGAGCCUGAUGCAGCAACGCCGCGUGCGGGAUGACGGCCUUCGGGUUGUAAACCGCUUUCGCCUGUGACGAAGCGUGAGUGACGGUAAUGGGUAAAGAAGCACCGGCUAACUACGUG
RNAcentral lists this ribosomal RNA (468 nucleotides) under uncultured bacterium. RNAcentral's name for it is "partial 16S ribosomal RNA". It matches the Rfam family "Bacterial small subunit ribosomal RNA", at positions 28 to 507 of the family's 1533-position model. The record is from RNAcentral.